GACGAACGCUGGCGGCGUGCUUAACACAUGCGAGUCGAACGGAAAGGCCCUGCUUUUGUGGGGUGCUCGAGUGGCGAACGGGUGAGUAACACGUGAGUAACCUGCCCUUGACUUUGGGAUAACUUCAGGAAACUGGGGCUAAUACCGGAUAGGAGCUCCUGCUGCAUGGUGGGGGUUGGAAAGUUUCGGCGGUUGGGGAUGGACUCGCGGCUUAUCAGCUUGUUGGUGGGGUAGUGGCUUACCAAGGCUUUGACGGGUAGCCGGCCUGAGAGGGUGACCGGCGUCAUUGGGACUGAGAGACGGCCCAGACUCCUACGGGAGGCAGCAGUGGGGAAUAUUGCACAGUGGGCGGGGGCCUGAUGCAGCAACGCCGCGUGCGGGAUGACGGCCUUCGGGUUGUAAACCGCUUUCGCCUGUGACGAAGCGUGAGUGACGGUAAUGGGUAAAGAAGCACCGGCUAACUACGUG
This 468-nucleotide ribosomal RNA is filed under the name uncultured bacterium. RNAcentral describes it as "partial 16S ribosomal RNA". It matches the Rfam family "Bacterial small subunit ribosomal RNA", at positions 28 to 507 of the family's 1533-position model. The record is from RNAcentral.